GCAGCACAGUAAGAGCUUGCUCUUACGGGUGGCGAGUGGCGGACGGGUGAGGAAUGCAUCGGAAUCUACUCUGUCGUGGGGGAUAACGUAGGGAAACUUACGCUAAUACCGCAUACGACCUACGGGUGAAAGCAGGGGAUCUUCGGACCUUGCGCGAUUGAAUGAGCCGAUGCCCGAUUAGCUAGUUGGCGGGGUAAGAGCCCACCAAGGCGACGAUCGGUAGCUGGUCUGAGAGGAUGAUCAGCCACACUGGAACUGAGACACGGUCCAGACUCCUACGGGAGGCAGCAGUGGGGAAUAUUGGACAAUGGGCGCAAGCCUGAUCCAGCCAUACCGCGUGGGUGAAGAAGGCCUUCGGGUUGUAAAGCCCUUUUGUUGGGAAAGAAAAGCAGCCGGUUAAUACCCGGUUGUUCUGACGGUACCCAAAGAAUAAGCACCGGCUAACUUCGUGCCAGCAGCCGCGGUAAUACGAAGGGUGCAAGCGUUACUCGGAAUUACUGGGCGUAAAGCGUGCGUAGGUGGUUGUUUAAGUCUGUCGUGAAAGCCCUGGGCUCAACCUGGGAAUGGCGAUGGAAACUGGGCGACUAGAGUGUGGCAGAGGGUAGUGGAAUUCCUGG
RNAcentral lists this ribosomal RNA (617 nucleotides) under Stenotrophomonas sp. HPC351. RNAcentral's name for it is "bacterial SSU rRNA". It matches the Rfam family "Bacterial small subunit ribosomal RNA", at positions 66 to 673 of the family's 1533-position model. The record is from RNAcentral. Lineage: Bacteria; Pseudomonadati; Pseudomonadota; Gammaproteobacteria; Lysobacterales; Lysobacteraceae.